GACGAACGCUGGCGGCGUGCUUAACACAUGCAAGUCGAGCGGUAAGGCCCUUUCGGGGGUACACGAGCGGCGAACGGGUGAGUAACACGUGGGUGACCUGCCCUCAGCUCUGGGAUAAGCCUGGGAAACCGGGUCUAAUACCGGAUAUGACUCCAUGACGCAUGUUGUGGGGUGGAAAGCCUUGUGCGGCUGAGGAUGGGCCCGCGGCCUAUCAGCUUGUUGGUGGGGGGAU
Molecule: ribosomal RNA, 232 nt
Filed under: uncultured bacterium
Lineage: Bacteria
Description: partial 16S ribosomal RNA
Rfam family: Bacterial small subunit ribosomal RNA
Source: RNAcentral